ACGCAACCAAGUGAUCAAUGUAUUCAAAAAGAGUAGAUGAGAGUGCCUGGCAAAUCCCACUGAUGUGCUUUGUGCGUCUGAACAGAAACCACUGCAGUGAGGCUUGACAUGGUUAUCCCUCAUUCAUUGCCUGGUAAUACAGUGGAGAAACGUUGUAAGACUGUCUGCCAGCCUGCCACUCUGCCCAGCCCUCACCCAAAGCAAUCACAAGAUCAAGAAUGAGCUCCUGCUGUUGACGGACAUCCACCAGGCUGUGCAGUGACUGCUGACCAAUAAGGGUUGAAAGGACGGGUAGAGGAGUGGAGGUGGACAUGGAGCCCUUUGUGUUCGACUUCGAAAUACAAGAGGACAUGGAGGACUUCUCGAAGGACUGCCAGGCCGUACUGGCAACAUGUGCCCACCCUAACACUGACACUUUCCCUAAAGUUUUGGUAUCAAGGUCUGUGUCUGGCAGUGCAAUGAACUUGCGCACACCUAGUGGUGUUGCGGUAAGCAACCACUUGGCCAACUGAAACAAAGAUGCGAGGCGAAUUAAUUGUUAUU
Engraulis encrasicolus (European anchovy) is the source of this 543-nucleotide long non-coding RNA. RefSeq lists it as uncharacterized. NCBI's taxonomy places the organism in Eukaryota, Metazoa, Chordata, Actinopteri, Clupeiformes, Engraulidae. The record is from RefSeq and is a predicted model, not a curated record. The transcript is spliced from 5 exons.